UGGGGAAUAUUGGACAAUGGGCGAAAGCCUGAUCCAGCUAUGCCGCGUGGAUGAAGAAGGCCCUAGGGUUGUAAAGUCCUUUCACCGCUGAAGAUAAUGACGGUAAGCGGAGAAGAAGCCCCGGCUAAUUUCGUGCCAGCAGCCGCGGUAAUACGAAAGGGGCUAGCGUUGUUCGGAAUUACUGGGCGUAAAGCGCACGUAGGCGGCCAUGUAAGAUGGGGGUGAAAUCCCUGGGCUCAACCCAGGAAUUGCCUUCAUGACUGCAUAGCUCGAGGAUGCGAGAGGUGAAUGGAAUUCCGAGUGUAGAGGUGAAAUUCGUAGAUAUUCGGAAGAACACCAGUGGCGAAGGCGAUUCACUGGCGCAUUUCUGACGCUGAGGUGCGAAAGCGUGGGGAGCAAACAGG
RNAcentral lists this ribosomal RNA (404 nucleotides) under uncultured bacterium. RNAcentral's name for it is "bacterial SSU rRNA". It matches the Rfam family "Bacterial small subunit ribosomal RNA", at positions 355 to 776 of the family's 1533-position model. The record is from RNAcentral.